AAUGAACGCUGGCGGUAUGCCUAACACAUGCAAGUCGAACGAGACCUUCGGGUCUAGUGGCGCACGGGUGCGUAACGCGUGGGAACCUGCCCUUAGGUUCGGAAUAACUCUUCGAAAGGGGUGCUAAUACCGGAUAAUGUCCUCGGAUCAAAGAUUUAUCGCCCUUGGAUGGGCCGGUGUUGGUUUAGCGAGGUGGUGGGGUAAAAGCCUAGCAAGGAGACGAUCCGUAGCUGGUAUGAGAGGAUGAUAAGCCACACUGGAACUGAGAGACGGUCCAGAGUGCAAUGGGAGGCAGAAGUGGGGAAUAGUGGACAAUGGGCGAAAGACUGAUCAAGAAAUAACGCGUGGGUGAAGAAGGACUUAGGGUUGUAAAGAACUGUUGGUGGGAAAGAAAAGAAGAAGGUUAAUACAAAGUUGUUAUGAAGGUACCAAAAGAAUAAGCACGGGCUAACUUAGUG
Molecule: ribosomal RNA, 458 nt
Filed under: uncultured bacterium
Lineage: Bacteria
Description: partial 16S ribosomal RNA
Rfam family: Bacterial small subunit ribosomal RNA
Source: RNAcentral